UACGUAGGGUCCGAGCGUUUGUCCGGAAUUAUUGGGCGUAAAGGGCUCGUAGGCGGUUUGUCGCGUCGGGGAGUGAAAACUCAGGGCUCAACCCUGAGCGUGCUUCCGAUACGGGCAGACUAGAGGUAUGCAGGGGAGAACGGAAUUCCUGGUGUAGCGGUGGAAUGCGCAGAUAUCAGGAGGAACACCGGGUGGCGAAGGCGGUUCUCUGGGCAUUACCUGACGCUGAGGAGCGAAAGCGUGGGGAGCGAACAGG
This 256-nucleotide ribosomal RNA is filed under the name uncultured bacterium. RNAcentral's name for it is "partial 16S ribosomal RNA". It matches the Rfam family "Bacterial small subunit ribosomal RNA", at positions 524 to 776 of the family's 1533-position model. The record is from RNAcentral.